AGGUGACCAUUGGAGAUGGUCUAA
This 24-nucleotide small nuclear RNA is filed under the name Arabidopsis thaliana (thale cress). RNAcentral describes it as "snRNA_16576". The record is from RNAcentral. Lineage: Eukaryota; Viridiplantae; Streptophyta; Magnoliopsida; Brassicales; Brassicaceae.